RNAcentral lists this ribosomal RNA (119 nucleotides) under Oryza sativa Indica Group (long-grained rice). Lineage: Eukaryota; Viridiplantae; Streptophyta; Magnoliopsida; Poales; Poaceae. The record is from RNAcentral.
GGAUGCGAUCAUACUAGCACUAAAGCACCGGAUCCCAUCAGAACUCCGAAGUUAAGCGUGCUUGGGCGAGAGUAGUACUAGGAUUGGUGACCUCCUGGGAAGUCCUCGUGUUGCAUCCC